CCUACGGGAGACAGCAGUGGGGGAUAUUGCACAAUGGGGGGAACCCUGAUGCAGCGACGCCGCGUGGGUGAAGGAGUGCUUCGGCAUGUAAAGCACUAUCGGCAGGGAAGAAGCAAGACGGUACCUGACUAAGAAGCCCCGGCUAACUACGUGCCAGCAGCCGCGGUAAUACGUAGGGGGCGAGCGUUAUCCGGAUUCCCUGGGUGUAACGGGAGCGUAGACGGCCAAGCAAGCCAGGGGUGAAAGCGCGGGGCGCAACCCCGGGACUGCCCUUGGAACUUCAUGGCUGGAGUGCGGGAGGGGCAGGCGGAAUUCCUGGUGUAGCGGUGAAAUGCGUAGAUAUCAGGAGGAACACCGGCGGCGAAGGCGGCCUGCUGGACCGCGACUGACGUUGAGGCUCGAAAGCGUGGGGAGCGAACAGGAUUAGAUACCCUUGUAGUC
Molecule: ribosomal RNA, 441 nt
Filed under: uncultured bacterium
Lineage: Bacteria
Description: partial 16S ribosomal RNA
Rfam family: Bacterial small subunit ribosomal RNA
Source: RNAcentral